UUACGGCCAUAUCAUGUUGAAACACUAGUUCCUGUAUGAUCACCAAAGUUAAGCAAUGUCAAGCCUGUUCAGUACCUAUGUGGGUGACCGCUGAAGAAUACCAGUUGCUGUAAG
This is a non-coding RNA of Acanthosepion pharaonis, 114 nucleotides long. The record is from the annotation of a GenBank genome assembly. NCBI's taxonomy places the organism in Eukaryota, Metazoa, Mollusca, Cephalopoda, Sepiida, Sepiidae.